AGAUCUGCAGUCAAUGAUGGUGUUUGUGUUGCUGGUAGAAGAAAAAGGGGUCCAAAUAAGAGAGUGAAGGGUUCUGAGUCAUUGAACACAAAACCCUCGGAGCAUGUGGACCAUGUGAUCAUGAACCUACCAGCUUCUGCUCUGGAGUUUCUUGAUGCCUUUAGAGGCCUUAUUAGAAGGAGAUACUGGAAGGGAUCUCUACCCUGGAUUCACUGCUAUUGCUUCAUACGAGCAAGUGAA
Molecule: unclassified non-coding RNA, 240 nt
Filed under: Hevea brasiliensis (rubber tree)
Lineage: Eukaryota; Viridiplantae; Streptophyta; Magnoliopsida; Malpighiales; Euphorbiaceae
Source: RNAcentral